ACGCUGGCGGCGGCCUACACAUGCAAGUCGAGCGCGACCUUCGGGUUGAGCGGCGGACGGGUUAGUAACGCGUGGGAAUAUGCCCAAAGGUACGGAAUAGCCUCUGGAAACGGAGAGUAAUACCGUAUGUGCCCUUCGGGGGAAAGAUUUAUCGCCUUUGGAUUAGCCCGCGUUAGAUUAGGUAGUUGGUGGGGUAAUGGCCUACCAAGCCUACGAUCUAUAGCUGGUUUUAGAGGAUGAUCAGCAACACUGGGACUGAGACACGGCCCAGACUCCUACGGGAGGCAGCAGUGGGGAAUCUUGGACAAUGGGCGCAAGCCUGAUCCAGCCAUGCCGCGUGAGUGAUGAAGGCCUUAGGGUCGUAAAGCUCUUUCGCCAGGGAUGAUAAUGACAGUACCUGGUAAAGAAACCCCGGCUAACUCCGUGCCAGCAGCCGCGGUAAUACGGAGGGGGUUAGCGUUGUUCGGAAUUACUGGGCGUAAAGCGCGCGUAGGCGGAUCGGAAAGUUGGGGGUGAAAUCCCGGGGCUCAACCCCGGAACUGCCUCCAAAACUAUCGGUCUA
Molecule: ribosomal RNA, 562 nt
Filed under: uncultured bacterium
Lineage: Bacteria
Description: bacterial SSU rRNA
Rfam family: Bacterial small subunit ribosomal RNA
Source: RNAcentral